UUGGCUAGUGAUGGCUAAUGCGCAAGCACCAGCAGCAUCACCGGCUACACCAACCACGACUCCUCCACCUACUACCACACCUGUUGCAGCAUCACCCCCAACUUCCACGACGCCUCCACCUACUACCACACCUGUUGCAGCUUCACCUCCACCAACGACAACGCCUUCACCUACUACCACACCCGUUGCAGCAUCACCCCCACCUUCCACUACGCCUGUUGCACCAUCACAACCACCAGCAACUUCAGCACCACCUCCAACAGUACCUCCGCCUAAAGUUGCCCCCGUUUCUGCUCCAACGACCCCACCACCACAACCUCCACCAACUCCACCAGCAACACCACCACCUGCUCCAGUUUCUCCUCCACCACAGAUAGCCCCAGCACCAGCACAAAAG
Molecule: long non-coding RNA, 397 nt
Filed under: Capsicum annuum
Lineage: Eukaryota; Viridiplantae; Streptophyta; Magnoliopsida; Solanales; Solanaceae
Description: long non-coding RNA (CANN_LNC018195)
Source: RNAcentral